This 265-nucleotide ribosomal RNA is filed under the name Escherichia coli. RNAcentral describes it as "partial 23S ribosomal RNA". It matches the Rfam family "Bacterial large subunit ribosomal RNA", at positions 1641 to 1888 of the family's 2925-position model. The record is from RNAcentral. Lineage: Bacteria; Pseudomonadati; Pseudomonadota; Gammaproteobacteria; Enterobacterales; Enterobacteriaceae.
AUCGUACCCCAAACCGACACAGGUGGUCAGGUAGAGAAUACCAAGGCGCUUGAGAGAACUCGGGUGAAGGAACUAGGCAAAAUGGUGCCGUAACUUCGGGAGAAGGCACGCUGAUAUGUAGGUGAAGUCCCUUGCGGAUGGAGCUGAAAUCAGUCGAAGAUACCAGCUGGCUGCAACUGUUUAUUAAAAACACAGCACUGUGCAAACACGAAAGUGGACGUAUACGGUGUGACGCCUGCCCGGUGCCGGAAGGUUAAUUGAUGGG